GACGAACGCUGGCGGCGUGCUUAACACAUGCAAGUCGAACGGAAAGGCCCUGCUUGCAGGGUACUCGAGUGGCGAACGGGUGAGUAACACGUGGGUGAUCUGCCCUGCACUUCGGGAUAAGCCUGGGAAACUGGGUCUAAUACCGGAUAGGAGCCAUUUUUAGUGUGAUGGUUGGAAAGUUUUUUCGGUGUAGGAUGAGCUCGCGGCCUAUCAGCUUGUUGGUGGGGUAAUGGCCUACCAAGGCGGCGACGGGUAGCCGGCCUGAGAGGGUGGACGGCCACAUUGGGUCUGAGAUACGGCCCAGACACCUACGGGAGGCAGAAGUGGGGAAUAUUGAACAAGGGGCGCAAGCCGGAUGCAGCGACGCCGCGUGGGGGAUGACGGUCUUCGGGUUGAAAACUCAUUUCGCUAGGGACGAAGCUUUUUGUGACGGUACCUAGAUAAGAAGCACCGGCUAACUACGUG
Molecule: ribosomal RNA, 465 nt
Filed under: uncultured bacterium
Lineage: Bacteria
Description: partial 16S ribosomal RNA
Rfam family: Bacterial small subunit ribosomal RNA
Source: RNAcentral